RNAcentral lists this long non-coding RNA (1293 nucleotides) under Crocodylus porosus (Australian saltwater crocodile). RNAcentral describes it as "lncRNA (ENSCPRG00005005812.1)". Lineage: Eukaryota; Metazoa; Chordata; Crocodylia; Crocodylidae. The record is from RNAcentral.
CAGGAGUGAACAAGGAGGAGGGGGCUGAGGGGCGUUGCGGGCAGCGAUGGGAGGGGCUGGACGCAGGGCCCGCCCGGUGGCCUGAACUGCCAGCAAAGGGGCAGCCUUGGGCACAACCCGGAUCCCACUACACCCCCACCCCGGGCACGAGGCCCCUGCUGCCUCUCAGAGUCCCUUGGCUCAGGCCCCGCCCCCGCAACAGCACUACAACUCCCAUCAGGCCCCGCGCCCCCUCGCCUGCUCGGGGAUCACGUGGGGCGGGCCGGAAGGGGCUGCGCCGCGAGGAGCGGGAGGGGCGCGCCCACUUCUUCCUGCCAUUGGCUCAAGCCGCUGCCCGUCAGCCCCGGCUCGCAGCGGAAGGGGUGGGCGGAUCCGGAAGCGGAACGCCUGAAAGGCGGAAGUGCAGGCCAGAGCCUGGCAGAUUCACCUGAGGUGGGGGCGGUGCCGCGGGGACCCCCUGGUGCUGGCCUCAUAGAAGAGAUUCCAUUUACCCAAGGAACCCUGUUUGCCUAUGUCCUUGGGCCAACACGGCUACACCCAACAACCUUAAAGGAGAUAUGAUGUGCUUUAGGCUCUGGCAAGUGACUUGCAGUGUGGUGUUUGUGCCCCUGGGGGGUCUCCAAAAUAACUGGUUGGGUAGAUGGUGCAUGUUUCCCUGCCACUCUCCAGAUGCCAACCAACAGCCUCUCUGCCACAUCUGUUAGAUGUAUUUGAUGUGGUGUCAUGUGCUGAUGGGUAUUGGGCAUCUGGUGUUUGUUCUUGUUCUGUGCAAAAUAACUCCAUUCUGGAGUUAGUUGGUGUGGUUUGGUUUUUUGUUUCAGGCUUUGGGCUGAGCUUAUGUGGGCUUAGAUUGCUUGGUGUCUGGAAUGAGCUUAAUACCUGGCUCAAGGUUGAAGACUAAUCGGUUAAUGAAAAGGACUAACAAUGGUGAGAUUCAUCCUUAAUAACCUAAACUAGAUCCUUCAGCUAAUCCUUCAAGUGAAAGAGUAUACUUGGAUCGGUGAUUCUCAACCAGGGUUCCUGUGGCACCUUACAUUGCCUUGAUCCUUUCAGGGGUGCUGCAGGAUGUCAUGUAACAUUGGCACUGUGGGUACGCAUGAUUCAAAAGUUACCCUGAAUAAGAAGAAUCCAUAGUGCUGUAGUCAGAGUGAGUGAAGUGCUUCUCUCCUCUUUCCCCUGUGCCCUUCCCCAACAAACUGCUGUACAGAAACACUCCACUCCAAAAAAGGAGCAAUAACUAAGGGAUGGCUCUCUUCUAAGGGGUUUCUUGAGUCUCUCUUGAGGCUGAGCCAC